AGAGCAGAAGCCAAGAGUUAUAUUGCACACCUGCUAUGUAACAGAUGGCAGAGAUAAAGACUGUUACAAAACAGACAAGGGUUGGGCUGCAGUGGCAGAGCACUCGCCUGCAUGAGGCCAUGUGUUUGCUCCCUAGCAUCAAAAAGAAAGGAAGAGAAAGUGUUGUUAAGAUGUACAUAGGCAAGAUAUAAAAAAAAAUGAUUAGCAGCCAUGGGGUGAAAACCCAUGAGUACAUACAUACCACUGAAGAGCCACUGCUACCCACAGCGCCCAGAGCACCUGUGCUUACCCGCAGGGCACCGUCUUGGAGUACUUCUUGUCACUAGAAUGUAGAAAACAAAAGAUGACACCAUCAUAUACUAGGGCAUGAUUCCCAAAGAGGAGCUUACAAGGACCCCUGUGCUGUGACAUGUGGAUGAAUACCCAGUGAGGAGUGGGCUCUUCAGUCAAGGAAGUGAAAAGCAUGAGGGCCAUCUUUCUGACCAUUACCUGGAUUCGGGAGGCACGGUUAAUCCUCACUCAGCUGAAGACACAGUCCUAAGCCUGUGGGAAGACACUUACUCUCUAUUAAGGGCCUGCUGUUCUCCAGGCGUCCCAGACAUCUCUUCCCAUUCCCUACCUCAUACAUUGUUGUAAAAAGUUGCUGGGCCACUGGGA
Long non-coding RNA from Mus musculus (house mouse), 657 nucleotides. RefSeq annotates it as predicted gene, 34999. The transcript is spliced from 3 exons. Lineage: Eukaryota; Metazoa; Chordata; Mammalia; Rodentia; Muridae. The record is from RefSeq and is a predicted model, not a curated record.